RNAcentral lists this ribosomal RNA (489 nucleotides) under uncultured bacterium. RNAcentral's name for it is "partial 16S ribosomal RNA". It matches the Rfam family "Bacterial small subunit ribosomal RNA", at positions 30 to 507 of the family's 1533-position model. The record is from RNAcentral.
AUUGAACGCUGGCGGCAGGCCUAACACAUGCAAGUCGAACGGUAACAGGAAGCAGCUUGCUGCUUUGCUGACGAGUGGCGGACGGGUGAGUAAUGUCUGGGAAACUGCCUGAUGAGGGGGAUAACCUCUGGAAACGGUAGCUAAUAACGCCUAACGUCGCAAGACCAAAGGGGGGGACCUUAGGGCCUCUUGCCAUCGGAUGUGCCCAGAUGGGAUUAGCUAGUAGGUGGGGUAACGGCUCACCUAGGCGACGAUCCCUAGCUGGUCUGAGAGGAUGACCAGCCACACUGGAACUGAGACACGGUCCAGACUCCUACGGGAGGCAGCAGUGGGGAAUAUUGCACAAUGGGCGCAAGCCUGAUGCAGCCAUGCCGCGUGUAUGAAGAAGGCCUUCGGGUUGUAAAGUACUUUCAGCGGGGAGGAAGGGAGUAAAGUUAAUACCUUUGCUCAUUGACGUUACCCGCAGAAGAAGCACCGGCUAACUCCGUG